AGCGAACAUUGGCGGUAGGCUUAACACAUGCAAGUCGAGCGAGGCGUAAUAGUCGAGCGGCGAACGGGUGAGUAACACAUGGGAAUCUACCUCGAAGUGGGGGAUAACGUCCAGAAAUGGACGCUAAUACCGCAUAAUCCAUAUUGGGAAAGCGCGCUGCGCUUUGCGAUGAGCCCAUGGCUGAUUAGCUAGUUGGUGAGGUAACGGCUUACCAAGGCGACGAUCAGUAGCUGGUCUGAGAGGAUGAUCAGCCACACUUGAACUGAGACACGGUCCAGGCUCCUGCGGGAUGCAGCAGUGGGGCAUCUUGCGCAAUGGGGGCAACCCUGACGCAGCCAUACCGCGGGUGUGAUGAAGGUCUUCGGAUUGUAAAGCACUUUCAGUAGGGGCGACGAUGACGGUACCUACAGAAGAAGUCACGGCUAACUUCGUGCCAGCCGCCGCAGUAA
Molecule: ribosomal RNA, 449 nt
Filed under: uncultured bacterium
Lineage: Bacteria
Description: partial 16S ribosomal RNA
Rfam family: Bacterial small subunit ribosomal RNA
Source: RNAcentral